This 78-nucleotide small RNA is filed under the name Halpernia frigidisoli. Its description in RNAcentral is "Flavo-1 RNA". It matches the Rfam family "Flavo-1 RNA". Lineage: Bacteria; Pseudomonadati; Bacteroidota; Flavobacteriia; Flavobacteriales; Weeksellaceae. The record is from Rfam by way of RNAcentral.
AACUAGCCCCGAUUGAAGUGGAAAUCCUUUUCUUUUUCUUGAAAAAAGAAUAGAUUGCAGCGGAAAGCGGGAAAUAGC